RNAcentral lists this ribosomal RNA (500 nucleotides) under uncultured Glomeromycotina. RNAcentral describes it as "partial small subunit ribosomal RNA". It matches the Rfam family "Eukaryotic small subunit ribosomal RNA", at positions 591 to 1092 of the family's 1831-position model. The record is from RNAcentral. Lineage: Eukaryota; Fungi; Glomeromycota.
CCAAUAGCGUAUAUUAAAGUUGUUGCAGUUAAAAAGCUCGUAGUUGAAUUUCGGGAUCAAUAUAUCGGUCGUGCCAUUGGUACGUACUGGUAUCAUUGGUUUCUCCUUUCUGACGAACCAUGAUGUCAUUAAUUUGGUGUUAUGGGAAGUUAGGACUGUUACUUUGAAAAAAUUAGAGUGUUUAAAGCAGGCUUUAGCUUGAAUCCAUUAGCAUGGAAUAAUGAAAUAGGACGUUCGAACCUAUUUUGUUGGUUUCUAGGAUCAACGUAAUGAUUAAUAGGGAUAGUUGGGGGCAUUAGUAUUCAAUUGUCAGAGGUGAAAUUCUUGGAUUUAUUGAAGACUAACUACUGCGAAAGCAUUUGCCAAGGAUGUUUUCAUUAAUCAAGAACGAAAGUUAGGGGAUCGAAGACGAUCAGAUACCGUCGUAGUCUUAACCAUAAACUAUGCCGACUAGGGAUCGGAUGAUGUUAAUUUUUUAAUGACUCAUUCGGCGCCUUACG